GAAAAAUAAGAAAAAGUUUUUAAUUUACGUGUAAUAUUAUUUUAAUAAAGAAUGUGUGAUUGAAGAGAAGAGAGAAAAAAAUGCAUUUUGAUAAAAAUAGGUGCCAAACAGGGCCUUAAAAGUACCUCGUGAAUCAACCCCAUAAUAAAACAUUCUACAUUCAACCCAAAACUUUUUCCUACUCUUCAAAAAUACACUUACCAAAAAAUCAUAAUUUAUCCAAAUAAUGGCAGUCAAACAUUAGCUUAAUUCAGAAUAGAUUUCUAAGCUGGACAAUAAACAGAUCCUAUCCCAUGUGGCAUUAUAAUUGGAAGUCAUAAAUAUUUUUAUUCAACAUAAAACUUCUCAAUCGAACGUUCAAAACUGAUAAGCUCAAAAAUAUGAACGAUGGAUCAAGUUCCAAUCCUCCUCAAAAGUGAGGGAUAUGCUUGUGGAAAGUUCUAGGUAACAGAAAAUGCUAAUUUUGCUCUUGUUUUCUCAGACUCAUUUUCAGCAAUAAUAACACAUCAAAACUUUUAUCAAAAUCUAUUAAAAUUUUAUUUUUUAACAAAAUAAAAAACGGCUUAAUUGAAAACAAUUUUUCCCAGAGGCAUAAAGAAGAAAUGUGCUAACACGUAAUAAGAACUCAAAUCGCAUUGAACGGCUCGUUAAUGAAAUUAGAAUGAAUCUUACUCACUAGAUGCAUCCCAUUACUCAGCUUGAAUCACAGGUUUCCACUUUUUGAAGCACAAUUAAAUAGAAAAACAAAUAACAAAAAAAUUAAUCAAGAAAUAGAUAUGAACCACGACGCUCAAAACCUUCUCAUUGAAGUUGAGAAACGCCCUCACAGACAUCGCGGCUCCAAUUAUGUAUAGCUUAUGAUCAUGUUAAGUGCUGCUGUAUAAAAAUCUUAACAGCACUAGACCGUCUAUAAGCACAAUUAUUUCGAUUUCCCGAUCGUUUUCCAAUAAAACAAAGUAUCUUAAUUGCGAAUUGAAUUAUAUGAAAAGACUAAAUGUUUUUCUCAUGGCCAUUCCCAAAUCGUAAUUGCAGAGAUUCUGCUACACAGGGCGAUAGGAUAUGAGAACGCCCCCUUCGGAAAAAAUGGGAUUCAACCUCUCAACACGAGAUUAAGAGGAUGCCUCAACCACCGAUUCAACGAAGGGGGCUUUUUAUGCGACGAUUAUCGAUUCACUUGGGUCAUACGAGCACCUGUGUUAUUCAGCUCGCCCCAAUUUUAAGUGAAAUCGUCGAUAGAAAAUUCAACUCACAGAUUUAAAAAAGAGGAGAACAAAUUGAAUAGAAAAUUUAACUCACAAAUUAAGCAAGAGAGAUGAAGAAACUGGGAGAUUGGGUUAGAAUUGAUUAUUGUUACGGCCGUGGCCAAGGAAAAACCCUAAUUGUUGC
Molecule: long non-coding RNA, 1386 nt
Filed under: Olea europaea subsp. europaea
Lineage: Eukaryota; Viridiplantae; Streptophyta; Magnoliopsida; Lamiales; Oleaceae
Source: RNAcentral